RNAcentral lists this ribosomal RNA (489 nucleotides) under Streptomyces turgidiscabies. Its description in RNAcentral is "bacterial SSU rRNA". It matches the Rfam family "Bacterial small subunit ribosomal RNA", at positions 88 to 588 of the family's 1533-position model. Lineage: Bacteria; Bacillati; Actinomycetota; Actinomycetes; Kitasatosporales; Streptomycetaceae. The record is from RNAcentral.
UGGAUUAGUGGCGAACGGGUGAGUAACACGUGGGCAAUCUGCCCUGCACUCUGGGACAAGCCCUGGAAACGGGGUCUAAUACCGGAUGAUACUUCUGCUCGCAUGGGUGGGGGUUGAAAGCUCCGGCGGUGCAGGAUGAGCCCGCGGCCUAUCAGCUUGUUGGUGAGGUAGUGGCUCACCGAGGCGACGACGGGUAGCCGGCCUGAGAGGGCGACCGGCCACACUGGGACUGAGACACGGCCCAGACUCCUACGGGAGGCAGCAGUGGGGAAUAUUGCACAAUGGGCGAAAGCCUGAUGCAGCGACGCCGCGUGAGGGAUGACGGCCUUCGGGUUGUAAACCUCUUUCAGCAGGGAAGAAGCGCAAGUGACGGUACCUGCAGAAGAAGCGCCGGCUAACUACGUGCCAGCAGCCGCGGUAAUACGUAGGGGCGCAAGCGUUGUCCGGGAAUUAUUGGGGCGUAAAGAGCUCGUAGGCGGUCUGUCGCGU